ACGAACGCUGGCGGCGUGCUUAACACAUGCAAGUCGAACGGAAAGGCCCUGCUUUUGUGGGGUGCUCGAGUGGCGAACGGGUGAGUAACACGUGAGUAACCUGCCCUUGACUUUGGGAUAACUUCAGGAAACUGGGGCUAAUACCGGAUAGGAGCUCCUGCUGCAUGGUGGGGGUUGGAAAGUUUCGGCGGUUGGGGAUGGACUCGCGGCUUAUCAGCUUGUUGGUGGGGUAGUGGCUUACCAAGGCUUUGACGGGUAGCCGGCGUGAGAGGGUGACCGGACGGACGGGGGGAGGGAUGCGGACGCGACUCGUACGGGGGAGAGCGAGGGUGAAGAGGGACGAGUGGUGGAGCGACUGGUGUGGCACGACUGUGGUGGUGCUGGCGUCUUGGGGGUUGUACGCCGCUUCCGCGGUUGACGAGGCGAGGGAGAAGAGAGUGGCAAAAGAAGCCCCGACUAACUACGUGCCAGGAGUCGGGGUAAUCAUCGAGUAGCACACGUCUGACC
Molecule: ribosomal RNA, 507 nt
Filed under: uncultured bacterium
Lineage: Bacteria
Description: partial 16S ribosomal RNA
Rfam family: Bacterial small subunit ribosomal RNA (bases 19-330)
Source: RNAcentral